RNAcentral lists this ribosomal RNA (711 nucleotides) under Triticum aestivum (bread wheat). RNAcentral's name for it is "partial small subunit ribosomal RNA". The record is from RNAcentral. Lineage: Eukaryota; Viridiplantae; Streptophyta; Magnoliopsida; Poales; Poaceae.
AUGGAGGCAGAUUACAUGGAAUUGAAAUGGUGUGCAAAGACCGUCGGCCCGACAUUGCCGUCGUUCUACCUUGACGAUGAUCGCCUGCCGUCGAACAAGACCUAUGGUUUCAACCUCGUCUCGAGCACUUCUCCGUGUGUGGCAUGGCUCAACAAGCAGGCUCCUUGCUCUGUGCUCCUCGCAUCCUACGGCACGGUCGCUAACCUUGACUCGACACAACUAGAAGAGCUAGGCCAUGGAUUGUGCAACUCCGGACAACCUUUCCUUUGGGUGUUGAGGCCUAGUGAGACAGAUAAGUUGACCCAAGAACUCCAUGACAAAUGCAACAUGAAAGGCCAAAUUGUCCCCUUUUGCCCUCAGCUGGACGUGUUGGCUCACAGGGCCACAGGUUGUUUCUUGACACAUUGUGGAUGGAACUCGACAGCUGAAGCAAUUGCCACCGGUGUACCCAUGAUCGCAAUACCGCAAUGGGCGGACGAACCGACCGCCGCAAAGUACGUGGAGAGCACGUGGGGGAUCGGCCUGCGUGCACGCCGAGGCAAGAAAGGCUUGGUGAGACGAGAAGAGGUGGAGAGGUGCAUCAAGGAAGUGAUGCGUGGGAAGGAGUAUAUGAGGAAUGCUUCUAAGUGGAUGCAGAAGGCCAAAGAGGCUAUGCAGGAAGGAGGGAGCUCUGACAAAAACAUUGCAGAUUUUGCAGCCAAAUAUUUAUGA